This is a non-coding RNA of Oryzias latipes (Japanese medaka), 4624 nucleotides long. The record is from RefSeq and is a predicted model, not a curated record. Lineage: Eukaryota; Metazoa; Chordata; Actinopteri; Beloniformes; Adrianichthyidae.
CACCUUCUGAAGCAUUAUCGAGUAAGACAUGUGCAUUAUGGAAAAAACAGUCGUAUUCCAUGUGUUCAUGAAAGCUGUCCAUGCACUUUUAGAACGUGGAAUGCACUAUUAAUUCAUUUGAAUAGAUGCCAUGUUAUUAAAACUAGUCACCAUCAUUCAGAGAGAUGUACUUAUAGCUGCCACUUGUGUCCCUGUAAGGAUCUUGUGUCUGAAAGAGAUUACUGGACUCAUAUUAAUGCACACUUGAAAAAAAACGAGGUUGUAACUUGUAUGUUUUUGCAUUGCGACUUUGAAUCAAAUAUCUUAGGAUCUUUUAAAUCCCACAAGAGCAGGAAACACAGACUUUACUCAUCCAAAGAUUUUAAACCAGGAAUAGUAAUAUCAGCAACUGUUGCUGCCCUAGAUUCUGCUUCCAGUGCUUCUGAUGAUGACAUUGAGGAUGCUCAACCAAGUAGCAGUGCUGAUGGUCUAAGUGACCUACCAGAUGUUAUUCAGCACAGUUUGGCAGCAGCUUUGUUAAAAUUAGAACAUUUUUCUUGUGUGCCAAGCAAAGCAAUCAAUGAGUUUUUGGUAGAACUUCACUACUUAACUGACUGUCUCUCAAAAUCUCAUGUAGAAAGUGUUAUAGUGAAUACUUUUCAGAAGCACAAUGUCCAAGUAGACAGAGUUGUUAUUGAGGAAAUAAUCUCUUUGUGCUCAGCAAAUCCUUUGAAUAAGGCCAUAGAGAAGGGUGGGCCUUUGAGUACUGCAUACCAACGUAAGCAAUAUUACAAAUCAAAAUUUAAUGUUGUUGAACCGGUAGAAUAUAUAUUGGAUGCAAAAGAGAACAAAACAUUACAGUAUGUUUCCAUCCUAGAAUCUUUGCAAGUGCUGCUGAGUAGGAAGGAUAUUGUGGAUAAGGUAAUUGGUAAUCACAACACACAAAGGGAAAAAGGGACUGGAAAAGAAAUUUUGUACAGGUCAUAUAAGGACGGUCUGCAUUGUAAGGAAAAUUGUUUGUUGUCUGGGGAAGACCUAAGUUUAUCAAUUACUUUGUAUGCUGAUGACUUUGAAGUCUGUAAUCCUCUGGGAACCUCCCGCAAAACCCACAAACUUUGCGCUGUCUACUGGGUACUAAAUAACUUACCUCCAGGGUCUCAUUCUAGUUUGUGCUCGAUUUUUCUGGCCAUUUUGUGCAAAACAAACAAUGUAAAGUUAUUUGGCUAUAACAAGAUUUUAGAGCCUCUAAUACGUGACCUGAGAUCUUUAGAGGUUGAUGGCAUUUUUGUUCCACAACUGCACAAAUCGCUUAAGGGUACAGUCCAGACUAUUGUUGCAGACAAUUUAGGAGCACAUGGAAUAGCAGGCUUUGUGGAGAAUUUUACAGGCCCCUUCUUUUGUCGUUUUUGUACAGCACCAGCUUCAGACAUUCAGUCACAUGAGGUUAGGUCAGGAGCUUUCAGCCUCAGAAGGAAAGAAACACAUGAAACCCAUGUCAGAGCAGCCCUAGAUGGUGGCAGUAGUGUUUUUGGAGUUAAAAGAGCCUGUCCAUUUACUCAAGCACUUUCUCAUUUUCAUGUGGUCAGUGGCUAUCCUCCUGACAUUUCUCAUGAUCUUCUUGAAGGUGUUGUGCCUGUUGAAAUAGCAUGUUGCCUGACGUCACUGAUAUCAAAGGAGUAUAUCACCUUGGAAGAAAUAAAUGGUUCCAUUCUCCAUUUCCCUUACAAGUGGACAGACAAAACCAAUAAACCUCAUACUUUGCCACAAACACUUUCAAGAAGGAAAACAAUCGGAGGCAAUGCCCAUGAAAAUUGGUGCUUGUUAAGAUUGCUACCAUUUCUUAUUGGCCCCAAGAUUCCUGAACAUGAGCCAAUAUGGCAGGUCUUGUUGGAUCUAAAACAGAUUGUGGAGUUAGUGGUUGCCCCAGUUCACAGUGAUGAAUCUAUAGCCUACCUUGAGAGCAAAAUUUCGGAUCAUCGGCAAAGGUAUCAAGAGGCGUUUCCUAACAACACUUUACUGCCUAAACACCACUACAUAGAGCAUUACCCGCGACUAAUACAACUAUUUGGGCCUCUUGCGGGCCUUUGGACCAUCAGGUUUGAGGCAAAGCACAGUUUCUUUAAAAAAGUUAUGAAACACACCAGUUGCUUUAAAAAUGUCCCUUUGUCUCUGGCUGUUAAACAUCAGAUUAUGAUUGGCUACCAUUUGUCUUCUCCAAAUAUUGAUAAACCAGUUCUGGAUGUGUCGCAUGCAUCCACUGUCCCAUUAGAUGUUUUGAAGGAAAAUCUGGCUCAAGCAUUUAAACAAAUAAAUCCCAGUGUAUCUGAAAUAAACAUCGCAAAAAAUGUAUGGAGCAAAGGAAUAAACUACAGACCAGGAAUGAUAGUGGCAUAUGGUUCUGAGGGUGGCUUGCCUGAGUUUGGGGAAAUCCAUCAAAUAUGCAUUUUGCAGCAAAGACUAUUUUUUGUGUUGAAACUUCUGUGUGGGUGGUAUUGUGAGCAUUAUGGAGCCUUUCAGCUGACUCCAUCUACGGCACGAGAACAUGAUCUUGUGGAAGUCUCUGACCUGGUUGAUGAGUAUCCACUGGCUGCCUAUGUAGUUGGGGGUAUACGGAUGGUGACCUUGAAGAGAUCAAUCUGUAUCUGUAGACAGUGAAGUGAGACCAUGACAAAUCAGGCUGUUCUCAGAGUUAUCCUUGGACCCGACAACAGUCAGAGGGUUGUGAUUUCUGCUGGCCUGCCUUCAUCUGUGGCUGCAUUGGAGGCUGAGAUACAGACUCAAUGUAAAAUAAUGACGCCCUUUCGACUGCAGUUUAUGGACCCACUUUUUGGAAACGACUUUGUGAACUUGACUUCAAUAGAGGAAAUACAAGACAAAGCGACACUCAAAGUUGUGUACACAGUCAUCCAACCUCAGGAUCAAGAUGAAGAUAGUUUUUCCUUUCCAUCAACCAGUGCUCCUGAUGUCGCCUCAUCUAGUUCUGGUGACAGCACUGUUAUUCUUUCAUCUCCAGAGUCUACCUCAUCACGGUCAUCAUGGCCAGAUUUGUUCCUUGUUCCUCGGUUUACAUAUGAUGCAGAAAUUAAGUUGGAGAAGGCCCAUGUAGCUUUCAAAGAAAAUGGGAUGCUGCUGAUUCCUGAUCCAAAGCUGAAGUCUGACAUAUUGGAAGGGUUGAUCCAGGAGGUAGUCAAACACACAGUAUAUCCCACAGACAGAAAGUUUGACCAAGUUGCAGAGGCACUCAUCCUGAGGCAUCCAUGUUUAAAAGAAAAGGGCUCACCCAGUGGCUAUGCAGGAUGGAAGAUGAGCCUCAAAUACAAAUUGUCAAACUACCGCACACAUCUCAGGAAAGUAGGAUGUCCUGAGGUAUGUGUGAAUGCUUUGAAACAUAAACCAGCAGAGAAAUGUUCUCCUGCUUAUGAUGUUAAGAGACCAAAGAGGGGUGAAGUGGAUUACUGUCCCCCUUUUCCACUUGGAGAAAGUGAACAGUCCCUUGAGACAAUAAGGAUCGAACUUCUUUCAGAUGUCAAGAAGCGCAACAACAGAGAUGCAAUAAAGGAUAAAAUGAACAAAACCUUUUCAUUAAGAAGACAAGAAGUAAUUUAUGAUGCUCCCAUGAUCAGCGAGCUACAAGAGAGAUGGCCAGCUCUUUUUGAUCCAGCAGAGAUAAACGCAGAGUUCAAGCGCAUUACAACCAUGCCUCUACAGUCAAGGUUUCUGUCGCAGCUUGACUUUCUGUCUGAAAGUCUGCUGAGAGUGUUUUCAAAGCGAUCAGGGAAGCAGGGCAAAAUGUUGAAAGACAUGACAGACAGGAUGAUGGAUGACGUGGAUGCUAGAAGGGAGUCCCUAAUUAAAGGACUUUGCCUCUAUUUGAAUGAGAAUCCUGACAUCUUGGUGCAUGAGUACAUGGACAUGACUGACGUCUCCACUCUAAGUGCCAUUGAGAAAACAACAGCGGGAGUCUAUGUUGCCAAGGAGACACCAGGCAAGGACUUUCCUGAUGUUGGCAUCAUCAUCGAAGGUGUGGUGAUACUUCAGGACCUGGAUAAUGUGGCCCUUGCAACAGCCAUGCUGUUUGGACUUUUUACUGCUUCAACAUGAGUUACCCGGCACAGCUCCGCUACACUUUUGAGGUGAUUCAAAAGGUGGUCAUGGAAUUGGAUCCGACUGAACUCUCGAGAAAAGCCCAAAACUUAAAGACAAAACUUCAAUAAGGAAAGAUCAUUGUUGUGCAGGUCACAUGUUUAACUAAAGGUAAGAGGACAGUUAUAGUUCACAUACGCCCUCUUGCAUUUUGGACAUUCAAUUUCUAGGUGAAUGAUCAGCAACCCAAAAACCAUCACAUUGUUCAGUGUAGUGUUUAUUAUGUGGGAUGGUUAUAACUGUUUAUCUGCCAUGGAAAAGUAGUGCCAGUUUUUUCUGUUUGAUUGGCAUUGUAUUUCAAUUUAGUUUUUCCAAGUGACAAAAGGAUGAUUGUACACAAUCUGAAAAGGUUUUAGUUUUAAAAAAAAAGUUUUAAUACUUCUAAGGCUAUUUUGAAUCAAGAUGUCACAAUACCAGUGUUGAAAUUUUGGACACUUGCUGUAUUUUUGACUGUUUUUUGUACUGUGGCUUUUGAAAUAAAGCUUUGACAUGCAACUGUUAA